Molecule: ribosomal RNA, 233 nt
Filed under: uncultured bacterium
Lineage: Bacteria
Description: partial 16S ribosomal RNA
Rfam family: Bacterial small subunit ribosomal RNA
Source: RNAcentral
CACGGGUGAGUAACACGUAUCCAACCUGCCGUCUACUCUUGGACAGCCUUCUGAAAGGAAGAUUAAUACAAGAUGGCAUCAUGAGUUCACAUGUUCACAUGAUUAAAGGUAUCCCGGUAGACGAUGGGGAUGCGUUCCAUUAGAUAGUAGGCGGGGUAACGGCCCACCUAGUCUUCGAUGGAUAGGGGUUCUGAGAGGAAGGUCCCCCACAUUGGAACUGAGACACGGUCCAA